GAUGAACGCUGGCGGCGUGCCUAAUACAUGCAAGUCGAGCGAACAGAUGAGGAGCUUGCUCCUCUGACGUUAGCGGCGGACGGGUGAGUAACACGUGGAUAACCUACCUAUAAGACUGGGAUAACUUCGGGAAACCGGAGCUAAUACCGGAUAAUAUAUUGAACCGCAUGGUUCAAAAGUGAAAGACGGUCUUGCUGUCACUUAUAGAUGGAUCCGCGCUGCAUUAGCUAGUUGGUAAGGUAACGGCUUACCAAGGCAACGAUGCAUAGCCGACCUGAGAGGGUGAUCGGCCACACUGGAACUGAGACACGGUCCAGACUCCUACGGGAGGCAGCAGUAGGGAAUCUUCCGCAAUGGGCGAAAGCCUGACGGAGCAACGCCGCGUGAGUGAUGAAGGUCUUCGGAUCGUAAAACUCUGUUAUUAGGGAAGAACAUAUGUGUAAGUAACUGUGCACAUCUUGACGGUACCUAAUCAGAAAGCCACGGCUAACUACGUG
RNAcentral lists this ribosomal RNA (497 nucleotides) under uncultured bacterium. RNAcentral's name for it is "partial 16S ribosomal RNA". It matches the Rfam family "Bacterial small subunit ribosomal RNA", at positions 28 to 507 of the family's 1533-position model. The record is from RNAcentral.